AUGGCUCAGAUUGAACGCUGGCGGCAGGCCUAACACAUGCAAGUCGAGCGGUAACACAGGAGAGCUUGCUCUCUGGGUGACGAGCGGCGGACGGGUGAGUAAUGUCUGGGAAACUGCCCGAUGGAGGGGGAUAACUACUGGAAACGGUAGCUAAUACCGCAUAACGUCUUCGGACCAAAGAGGGGGACCUUCGGGCCUCUUGCCAUCGGAUGUGCCCAGAUGGGAUUAGCUAGUAGGUGGGGUAAUGGCUCACCUAGGCGACGAUCCCUAGCUGGUCUGAGAGGAUGACCAGCCACACUGGAACUGAGACACGGUCCAGACUCCUACGGGAGGCAGCAGUGGGGAAUAUUGCACAAUGGGCGCAAGCCUGAUGCAGCCAUGCCGCGUGUAUGAAGAAGGCCUUCGGGUUGUAAAGUACUUUCAGCGAGGAGGAAGGCGUUGCGGUUAAUAACCGCAGCGAUUGACGUUACUCGCAGAAGAAGCACCGGCUAACUCCGUGCCAGCAGCCGCGGUAAUACGGAGGGUGCAAGCGUUAAUCGGAAUUACUGGGCGUAAAGCGCACGCAGGCGGUCUGUCAAGUCGGAUGUGAAAUCCCCGGGCUCAACCUGGGAACUGCAUUCGAAACUGGCAGGCUAGAGUCUUGUAGAGGGGGGUAGAAUUCCAGGUGUAGCGGUGAAAUGCGUAGAGAUCUGGAGGAAUACCGGUGGCGAAGGCGGCCCCCUGGACAAAGACUGACGCUCAG
This 742-nucleotide ribosomal RNA is filed under the name Buttiauxella sp. 110518_136_C_A1. RNAcentral describes it as "bacterial SSU rRNA". It matches the Rfam family "Bacterial small subunit ribosomal RNA", at positions 19 to 750 of the family's 1533-position model. Lineage: Bacteria; Pseudomonadati; Pseudomonadota; Gammaproteobacteria; Enterobacterales; Enterobacteriaceae. The record is from RNAcentral.